CAGCAGCCACGGGAAUACGUAGGGUGCGAGCGUUAAUCGGAAUUACUGGGCGUAAAGCGUGCGCAGGCGGUUCGUUAAGACAGAUGUGAAAUCCCCGGGCUUAACCUGGGAACUGCAUUUGUGACUGGCGAGCUAGAGUAUGGCAGAGGGGGGUAGAAUUCCACGUGUAGCAGUGAAAUGCGUAGAGAUGUGGAGGAAUACCGAUGGCGAAGGCAGCCCCCUGGGCCAAUACUGACGCUCAUGCACGAAAGCGUGGGGAGCAAACAGGAUUAGAUACCCGAGUAGUCCCUGUCUCUUAUAC
RNAcentral lists this ribosomal RNA (301 nucleotides) under uncultured bacterium. Its description in RNAcentral is "partial 16S ribosomal RNA". It matches the Rfam family "Bacterial small subunit ribosomal RNA", at positions 509 to 807 of the family's 1533-position model. The record is from RNAcentral.